RNAcentral lists this ribosomal RNA (1456 nucleotides) under 'Vigna unguiculata subsp. sesquipedalis' phytoplasma. RNAcentral's name for it is "bacterial SSU rRNA". It matches the Rfam family "Bacterial small subunit ribosomal RNA". Lineage: Bacteria; Bacillati; Mycoplasmatota; Mollicutes; Acholeplasmatales; Acholeplasmataceae. The record is from RNAcentral.
CGCGGUUAUUAGUGGCGAACGGGUGAGUAACACGUAAGCAACCUACCCUAAAGACGAGGAUAACCAUUGGAAACAGUGGCUAAGACUGGAUAGGAAGAUAAAAGGCAUCUUGUAUCUUUUAAAAGACCUAGUUAAUAGGUAUGCUUUAGGAGGGGCUUGCGCCAUAUUAGUUAGUUGGUAGGGUAAUGGCCUACCAAGACGAUGAUGUGUAGCUGGACUGAGAGGUUGAACAGCCACAUUGGGACUGAGACACGGCCCAAACUCCUACGGGAGGCAGCAGUAGGGAAUUUUCGGCAAUGGAGGAAACUCUGACCGAGCAACGCCGCGUGAAUGACGAAGUACUUCGGUAUGUAAAGUUCUUUUAUCGAGGAAGAAAAGCAAAUGGCGAACCAUUUGUUUGCCGGUACUUGAUGAAUAAGCCCCGGCUAAUUAUGUGCCAGCAGCCGCGGUAAGACAUAAGGGGCAAGUGUUAUCCGGAAUUAUUGGGCGUAAAGGGUGCGUAGGCGGUCUAGUAAGUCAGUGGUGUAAUGGCAACGCUUAACGUUGUCCGGCUAUUGAAACUGCUAAACUUGAGUUAGAUAGAGGCGAGUGGAAUUCCAUGUGUAGCGGUAAAAUGCGUAAAUAUAUGGAGGAACACCAGAGGCGUAGGCGGCUCGCUGGGUCUUAACUGACGCUGAGGCACGAAAGCGUGGGGAGCAAACAGGAUUAGAUACCCUGGUAGUCCACGCCGUAAACGAUGAGUACUAAGUGUCGGGUUAAACCGGUACUGAAGUUAACACAUUAAGUACUCCGCCUGAGUAGUACGUACGCAAGUAUGAAACUUAAAGGAAUUGACGGGACUCCGCACAAGCGGUGGAUCAUGUUGUUUAAUUCGAAGAUACCCGAAAAACCUUACCAGGUCUUGACAUGUUUUUGCAAAAUGAUAGUAAUAUCGUGGAGGUUACCAGAAACACAGGUGGUGCAUGGUUGUCGUCAGCUCGUGUCGUGAGAUGUUAGGUUAAGUCCUAAAACGAGCGAAACCCUUAUCGUUAGUUGCCAGCACGUUAUGGUGGGGACUUUAACGAGACUGCCAAUGAUAAAUUGGAGGAAGGUGAGGAUCACGUCAAAUCAGCAUGCCCCUUAUGACCUGGGCUACAAACGUGAUACAAUGGCUGUUACAAAGGGUAGCUGAAACGCAAGUUCUUGGCCAAUCCCCAAAAACAGUCCCAGUCCGGAUUGAAGUCUGCAACUCGACUUCAUGAAGUUGGAAUCGCUAGUAAUCGCGAAUCAGCAUGUCGCGGUGAAUACGUUCUCGGGGUUUGUACACACCGCCCGUCAAACCACGAAAGUUGGCAAUACCCCAAAACGGUAGCCUAACUCGUUUAUUCGAGAGGGCGCCGUCUAAGGUAGGGUCGAUGAUUGGGGUUAAGUCGUAACAAGGUAUCCCUACCGGAAGGUGGGGAUGGAUCACCUCCUU